This 481-nucleotide ribosomal RNA is filed under the name uncultured bacterium. RNAcentral describes it as "partial 16S ribosomal RNA". It matches the Rfam family "Bacterial small subunit ribosomal RNA", at positions 30 to 506 of the family's 1533-position model. The record is from RNAcentral.
AUUGAACGCUGGCGGCAUGCUUUACACAUGCAAGUCGAACGGUAACAGGUCUUCGGAUGCUGACGAGUGGCGAACGGGUGAGUAAUACAUCGGAACGUGCCUAGUAGUGGGGGAUAACUACUCGAAAGAGUAGCUAAUACCGCAUGAGAUCUACGGAUGAAAGCAGGGGACCUUCGGGCCUUGUGCUACUAGAGCGGCUGAUGGCAGAUUAGGUAGUUGGUGGGGUAAAGGCUUACCAAGCCUGCGAUCUGUAGCUGGUCUGAGAGGACGACCAGCCACACUGGGACUGAGACACGGCCCAGACUCCUACGGGAGGCAGCAGUGGGGAAUUUUGGACAGUGGGCGAAAGCCUGAUCCAGCAAUGCCGCGUGCAGGAUGAAGGCCCUCGGGUUGUAAACUGCUUUUGUACGGAACGAAAAGCCUGGGGCUAAUAUCCCCGGGUCAUGACGGGACCGUAAGAAUAAGCACCGGCUAACUACGU